This 1019-nucleotide long non-coding RNA is filed under the name Nicotiana benthamiana. RNAcentral's name for it is "long non-coding RNA (NBEN_LNC037387)". Lineage: Eukaryota; Viridiplantae; Streptophyta; Magnoliopsida; Solanales; Solanaceae. The record is from RNAcentral.
CGAGCUUGAGACUGCUGCAUAACACUUGCAAAUUGACCACGGGCCAAUUGAACAUAACCAAUGGAACGCCCAGCAAAUCUGCCAGCUGUUCUUGCUAUGAUGGGCAAAUCUUUAGGUCCUAAAAACAUAAAUGGCUUUUUUUAAAAGGUCAAACCAUAUCAUCUGGGCAAAUCUUUAGGUCCUAAACAUAAAUUGCUUUUUUAAAAGGGCAAACCAUAUCAUCUGCGCCCACACACAUAUAAUGAACUAGACGUUUCGCAUUAAGAUAAGCACAAAUCAACAACCCCCAGUAGCAAUUACAUUGAACAAAGUGAUUAAUUUCCUUAACACCGCUAUAACAAGCAUAUUUGAUCGUUGGCAUUAUCUUUUGCAAUCAAAACUUAAUUACUCAAACAAUAACAACAACACAUUAUAAUCUCACUUAGUGGGGUCUGGGGAGGGUAGUAUGUACGCAGACCUUACCCCUACACUUGGGCAGAGAGACUGUUUCCAAAUAGACUCCCGGCAUACUUACCUCCAAUAACUUACCACCUUGAUCUUGGGAGACUCGAACUCACAACCUCCUGGUUGGAAGUGGGUUGCUUACCAUCAUAGCAACCCCUCUUGUCUACCAAUUACAGCAGCAGUAGCGCCAAGCCAGAGAAAUAGCUCUCCAUAUGAAAUUCCCAGCAUAUCUCUUCUUUCACUUUGUUUCUGUCAUAUCUUUGAAGAUUGUAAAACAAGGACCCCGCCUUAUCGGAAUUUUGGUCGGAGAAUUCGUCUGAGAGUACCCCGCCGGCAAGGUCGUUAAACUUAACCAUGCUAGAGACAGUGAACACACUGAGGGUAAUUGGCUCUCGAUGAAGAAAUGAAUUGGAAGAGAUUAAAAUUUAAUCUUUCCGAAAUGGAAGAUUUUGUGAUGAACUUUCAAUAAAUAUGACUUUCUCAAAUUUACAUAACCAUCUCCUAUUUUAUCGAUCGAAAAGAGUACUGAAAUGUAAUGAGAUAACACCAACCUUCUCACAUUUUUUUUAAAUCAU